This 408-nucleotide ribosomal RNA is filed under the name uncultured bacterium. Its description in RNAcentral is "partial 16S ribosomal RNA". It matches the Rfam family "Bacterial small subunit ribosomal RNA", at positions 28 to 526 of the family's 1533-position model. The record is from RNAcentral.
GACGAACGCUGGCGGCGCGCCUAACACAUGCAAGUCGAGCGAAGCGGCGAACGGGUGAGUAACGCGUGAGGAACCUGCCUCUCACAACGGGAUAGCCUCGGGAAACCGGGAUUAAUACCGUAUGGUGAGAGAUGGCUUCGCGUCUGAUUAGUCAGUUGGUGGGGUAACGGCCUACCAAGACGACGAUCAGUAACCGGCCACGGAGAGUGAACGGUCACUUUGGAACUGGGACACGGUCGAGACUACUACGGGAGGCAGCAGUGGGGAAUGUUGCACAAUGGCGGGUACCCUGAUGCAGCGACGCCGCGUGAGCGAUGAAGGUUUUCGAAACGUAAAGCUCUGUCCUAUGGGAAGCGGUACCAUAGGAGGAAGCCCCGGCUAACUACGUGCCAGCAGCCGCGGUAAUAC